UGGGGAAUAUUGGACAAUGGGCGCAAGCCUGAUCCAGCCAUGCCGCGUGGGUGACUUGAAGGCCUUAGGGUCGUAAAGCCCUUUCGGCGGGGAAGAUAAUGACGGUACCCGCAGAAGAAGCCCCGGCUAACUUCGUGCCAGCAGCCGCGGUAAUACGAAGGGGGCUAGCGUUGCUCGGAAUCACUGGGCGUAAAGCGCACGUAGGCGGCUUUCUAAGUCAGGGGUGAAAUCCCGGAGCUCAACUCCGGAACUGCCUUUGAUACUGGAAAGCUUGAGUUCGGGAGAGGUGAGUGGAACUGCGAGUGUAGAGGUGAAAUUCGUAGAUAUUCGCAAGAACACCAGUGGCGAAGGCGGCUCACUGGCCCGAUACUGACGCUGAGGUGCGAAAGCGUGGGGAGCAAACA
RNAcentral lists this ribosomal RNA (404 nucleotides) under uncultured Rhodoplanes sp. RNAcentral describes it as "bacterial SSU rRNA". It matches the Rfam family "Bacterial small subunit ribosomal RNA", at positions 355 to 774 of the family's 1533-position model. The record is from RNAcentral. Lineage: Bacteria; Pseudomonadati; Pseudomonadota; Alphaproteobacteria; Hyphomicrobiales; Nitrobacteraceae.